UUGAUAUUGACGUGACCCUUCUCUUUGUGAAGGCACAUGGCACUUUGCACUGUGUCAUGAAUCCUUUUGGUUUGGUGGGGUGGGUACCCCCUACCUCUAUUUAUGUGAUAAAAGCUAGGAUUAUACUGAAGGUCCCUUUACCUCAGUAUAAAAUUUGUUUUUGUUUUUUUCAAUUGCCUAAUCUAGGCUGCUUGGAAAAAGUUACAUUGGUGCCGGGAUUCAGCCCUUGCCUGGACAGAGGUGGCCGCUAGAGUCAUCAGCAUGGACACUGGCACCAGUGACUACAUAGGUCCCAGGAUCGUAGCCAGCCACCUCGGGUGCCUCCGGAGACCACUUGAGAAGUGCAGAGACUGUGGGCCAGCCCCUCAUUCUUGUCUGAGACAGUGAUGCCCUCCCCACUCAGUAAUUAUGCACAGCUAGCAGAGGUGGGAGCUGGGUUCUCCCACACCCUGCAGCAAAUCGGAAAUCCCAGGGUGAGGACAGGAGGAUAGAAUUGUUGUGCCAGCUCAGCACCCACUCCUCUUGUGUGCCCAGGCAGGCUGCUGAGAUCCCCCAGCAUUCUGGGCUGGGCAAGAACUCAGAUUUCCACCUGAGGUUGGAGAAGCUUCAGAGUUCAGCCCCUGACCAGCAGAGUCCUGGGAGAGAGGGCAGUGCUAGCAGAUAAAAUCUCAGCCAAUGGGGCUGUGCAGGUGGCCCCAAGGCCUCCAGCUCCACAGAUAAGAAUCAGAAGCACAGCCAUCUCAAUUAGAAAGCAAUUUGAGUUAUCACGCUAAUUAAAGGGGUGUGCAGGCACAAGACCUGACUAGAUCUAGAUCCCUAACGUUAACAAAAAUCAGAUGGUUGAGAAUAAGAAUUUCACAUAAAUAGAAAUGUGAAAGUACGAUGUGCAACUGAGAAGUUGCCAUGAUUUUUUCUUUUCAGGCUGUUGGCAGCUCUGAAAUGAAUGGCUUCAUUUAAUCACAAAAGAAGGAAUACCAGCAAGACCACCCAGGCCCCAGCUCCGGUUUUUCCUGAAGAAUUUGGCCGCAUCUCCCUUUUUGAAGGCAGAGUUUCAUCUUAUCAUACCAAUCACCUCUGAGAAGCCCAAUCACUACAACCACUAACCACAACAUAAAUCAACGUGAGGACCUGAGAGCUCGCUUGCUCCCACUCUGUCCCUAGCCCAGCCUGGUUUUUCCAUCACAUGCUUCUUAGGCAGCAGGGAGCUGAGGCAGGGGGAACAUUUAGUUCCUUUUUCAAAGACUGGGAACACUUAAAAAUAUCUCCAAGUAAGCAACCAGCAUUCAGAGGAUGCUUAUUUACACUUUGUAGGAGCCUGGUGUUGGGACUCUGGCUCCUGGAUGGCGUCAAACCUGCCCUUGGGCUUGGCCGAGGCUGGUCUGGGAGUACCAUUUGCAAAUGGCUCUUGCUUCACGGUUGCAUCUCCAUCUGGGUAAACAACCUAGCGACAGCGCUGGCUCUUCUUAAGGCUGUCUGUUAUGGACUGAACUGUGUCCCUCUCAGAUUCACUUGUUAAAGUCCUGACCCCAGUACACCUCAGAAUGUGACUGUAUAUAGAAAUAGGGCAUGUAAAGCAGUCAUGACGGUUAAGUAAGGUCAUAUGGAUUGGCUCUAGUUCAAACGUGACUGGUAUCCUUCUAAGAAGAGGAAGAGACACCAGAGCUCACUCUCUUUCCACGCACACAAUGGCCAUGUGAGCACACUGUGAGAAGAUGCCAUCCGCAAGCCAAGAAGAGAGGCCUUGGGAGAAACCAAACCUGCUGUCACCUUGAUCUUGGACUUCCAGCCUCAAGAACUGUGAGAAAAUAAAUUUCUGCUGUUUAUUCCACCCAAUUUGUGGCAUUUUGUUAUGGCAGCCCAAGCCAACUAAGAUACCAUCCAUGUAAUUUCUUCUUGUAUGGCAAGGUCUUAACAUGAGACAUGAAUGAAUCAAUGGCCAUUUCUAUGCAGAAAUUUAAAAGCAUUCUUGAGUUCUCAUGGGGAGAUUUAAAUUCUCCAUAUAUGAACCCCUCUAGCCUGUACUUUCUUAUAGGAAAAUUCUCUGUGAGAUUGGAAUAUUCCAGAAGUUAACCAAAAGGAUCUUAAUUUACACUCUAUCUCCUAUUCCUCACAUUCCUAGUACUGUUAAUUACUCUCCUUCCUCAACCUCUGCUCCAUCCCUUUGGCAAGCCCAUGCAUUUAGUAGAUGUUUAUUGAGUGCUUCUCUAGGCCAGCUUAGGCUUUAGGCACUGGAGGUACGGGAAUGAAGAAAACAGAUAAGGCACGUGCUCUCACGUGGCUUCCAUCCUAGCAGAGGAAAACAGAAAUAAAAAUAAAUAAAUAAAUAAAUAAGGACUAUGUCAGAUAGUGAAAAGCUAUUCAGGAAUUUUAAAUACAGCAAUGCAAGAAUGACUGAGAGCCUGCUUUGGUUAGGCAGACAGGAACUCUGUCCUUUCCAACUAAAAACCAUUCUACUCCCUCUUCUCUUCUUUCCAUCAGCAUAACUACCCCUUGAGUGCAAGCUCCUGGGCUGGGCUCCUGCAAAAGCAUUCUAAUUGACCUCUCUGCCACCUCCUUUGCACCACUGCAGUUCAUUUUCCACAUAGCAGCUAGGGAAAUAUGUAAAAAACAAAGCUGGUUUUCAUUAUUCACAAUAGCUGUGUUCUAUAAAGUUGCUUCAAACCCUGAAUUCUGGAAUACUGAAGCAUUGCUC
RNAcentral lists this long non-coding RNA (2692 nucleotides) under Homo sapiens (human). RNAcentral describes it as "HSALNT0024204". Lineage: Eukaryota; Metazoa; Chordata; Mammalia; Primates; Hominidae. The record is from RNAcentral.